GGAUAAGACAGUUGGCCUCUGUUCAAAACAUUUUUUUUUUACCACAAAGUAAGAAUAUUUAUGAACCUCAUAUUAAAUUCAUAAGAAUUUUUUUUUUGUCCAAUAAUUUUAUCCACAUAGUACCUAUACCUAUCGAAUAAAAAUUACGUACAAUAGUCGCAAAAUUAAAAUGUCUAUAAAUUGUUCAAAAUUUCGACCACAUCAAGAAAAAACAAAUAUAAGUUUUCUGUCCAAAUUUCAAGUCUACGAAUAAGUACAAAUAUUUUUAACUGAAUCACAAAAAAAACAAAAUUUGAAAUAAUAAAAGCAUUAUUUUCGUAAAUUUUUCCGUUUUUCUUACGUUUUAUCCUGGG
Non-coding RNA from Cinara cedri, 353 nucleotides. The record is from the annotation of a GenBank genome assembly. NCBI's taxonomy places the organism in Eukaryota, Metazoa, Arthropoda, Insecta, Hemiptera, Aphididae.